This 298-nucleotide ribosomal RNA is filed under the name uncultured eukaryote. Its description in RNAcentral is "partial small subunit ribosomal RNA". It matches the Rfam family "Eukaryotic small subunit ribosomal RNA", at positions 587 to 889 of the family's 1831-position model. The record is from RNAcentral.
AGCUCCAAUAGCGUAUAUUAAAGUUGUUGCGGUUAAAAAGCUCGUAGUUGGAUUUCUGUCGAAGACAACUGGUCCGCCCUCUGGGUGAGUAUCUAGUCUGGCUUUGGCAUCCUCCUGGAGAACGUAGCUGUACUUGACUGUAUGGUGCGGUAUCCAGGACUUUUACUUUGAGGAAAUUAGAGUGUUUCAAGCAGGCACACGCCUUGAAUACAUUAGCAUGGAAUAAUAAGAUAGGACCUCGGUUCUAUUUUGUUGGUUUCUAGAGCUGAGGUAAUGAUUAAUAGGGAUAGUUGGGGGG